This 509-nucleotide ribosomal RNA is filed under the name Fusarium sp. YIMPH30012. RNAcentral's name for it is "eukaryotic LSU rRNA". The stretch from base 127 to 280 matches the Rfam family "5.8S ribosomal RNA". The record is from RNAcentral. Lineage: Eukaryota; Fungi; Ascomycota; Sordariomycetes; Hypocreales; Nectriaceae.
UGUGACAUACCUUAAUGUUGCCUCGGCGGAUCAGCCCGCGCCCCGUAAAACGGGACGGCCCGCCAGAGGACCCAAACUCUAAUGUUUCUUAUUGUAACUUCUGAGUAAAACAAACAAAUAAAUCAAAACUUUCAACAACGGAUCUCUUGGUUCUGGCAUCGAUGAAGAACGCAGCAAAAUGCGAUAAGUAAUGUGAAUUGCAGAAUUCAGUGAAUCAUCGAAUCUUUGAACGCACAUUGCGCCCGCUGGUAUUCCGGCGGGCAUGCCUGUUCGAGCGUCAUUUCAACCCUCAAGCCCCCGGGUUUGGUGUUGGGGAUCGGCUCUGCCCUUCUGGGCGGUGCCGCCCCCGAAAUACAUUGGCGGUCUCGCUGCAGCCUCCAUUGCGUAGUAGCUAACACCUCGCAACUGGAACGCGGCGCGGCCAUGCCGUAAAACCCCAACUUCUGAAUGUUGACCUCGGAUCAGGUAGGAAUACCCGCUGAACUUAAGCAUAUCAAUAAGCGGAGGAA